CCAGCUGAGGCACAUGCCAUGGGAGCUAAGUGGCUGCUGCGCUUGACCACUACGAAGACUGGUGUGGGAAGAAUCCUUUUGGAUGCACUUGAGCAGGGGGCGCUAAUCCCUGCGUCACAAGGCCUCUACUGGGCCAUACGGCAGGAGCCUCAGCCAAGAUGUCUCACCCCACUCUCUAUGAUGCAACAAGAAGCCCCUGGAGAACAUUUCAGUCCCACUCUGUACUUCUGUCAUGUGCUCAUCACAGUCUGGUGGAAUUUAAAUGACCUCUUAUCAAGAUGGAUAAACCCAAGUUUCCCAGUGCUGGAAUAUAGAAAAUGGAUGGACAAGUAAGUCCUACUCAGCACCCAUAACCCAGACAUGGGGACCUCAACACACC
Long non-coding RNA from Nomascus leucogenys (northern white-cheeked gibbon), 379 nucleotides. RefSeq lists it as uncharacterized. The transcript is spliced from 3 exons. The record is from RefSeq and is a predicted model, not a curated record. Lineage: Eukaryota; Metazoa; Chordata; Mammalia; Primates; Hylobatidae.